AUUGAACGCUGGCGGCGUGCCUAAUACAUGCAAGUCGAACGAAGUGGCGCGCGGGUGAGUACUAUAUAUUUAAUCUGCCCUACACAGAGGGACAACAGUUGGAAACGACUGCUAAUACCUCAUAGUGUAGGAUGAGGCGAAAUCGUAUCAGCUAGUUGGUAAGGUAAUGGCUUACCAAGGCUAUGACGCGUAACUGGUCUGAGAGGAUGCUCAGUCACAUUGGAAGUGAGACACGGUCCAAGCUCCUACGGGAGGCAGCAGAAAGGAAUUGUGCGCAAGGGGCGAAUGCCUGACGCAGCUUCGCCGGGUGGAGGAUGUCACUUGGGGGAGCGUAAACUCCUGUUAUCAGGAAAGCGGUACCUGAUGAAGAAGCACCGGCUAACUACGUGCCAGCAGCCGCGGUAAUUC
Molecule: ribosomal RNA, 408 nt
Filed under: uncultured bacterium
Lineage: Bacteria
Description: partial 16S ribosomal RNA
Rfam family: Bacterial small subunit ribosomal RNA
Source: RNAcentral